AUUGAACGCUAGCGGGAUGCUUUACACAUGCAAGUCGAACGAGUGGCGGACGGGUGAGUAAUAUAUCGGACCGUGCCCAGUAGAGGGGGAUAACUACUCGAAAGAGUGGCUAAUAACGCAUAAUAUCGGAUCGGCCGAUAUAGGAGUAGCUAGUUGGUGGUGUAACGGCUCACCAAGGCAACGAUCCGUAGAUGGUUUGAGAGGACAACCAGCCAACCUGGGAAUGAGACACGGCCCAGACUCCUACGGGAGGCAGCAGUGGGGAAUUUUGGACAAUGGGGGAAACCCUGAUCCAGCCAUCCCGCGUGUAUGAGAAGGCCUUCGGGUUGUAAAGUACUUUUGGCAUAGAAGCGGUACCUGCAGAAUAAGCACCGGCUAACUACGUGCCAGCAGCCGCGGUAAUUC
This 405-nucleotide ribosomal RNA is filed under the name uncultured bacterium. RNAcentral's name for it is "partial 16S ribosomal RNA". It matches the Rfam family "Bacterial small subunit ribosomal RNA", at positions 30 to 526 of the family's 1533-position model. The record is from RNAcentral.